UACGAGGGGGGCGAGCGUUGUUCGGAAUUAUUGGGCGUAAAGGGUGCGUAGGCGGUUUGGUAAGUCUUAUGUGAAAUCUACAGGCUCAACUUGUAGUCUGCAUGAGAAACUGCCGGGCUUGAGUAUGGGAGAGGUGAGUGGAAUUCCUGGUGUAGCGGUGAAAUGCGUAGAUAUCAGGAGGAACACCUGUGGCGAAAGCGGCUCACUGGACCAUAACUGACGCUGAUGCACGAAAGCUAAGGGAGCAAACAGG
Molecule: ribosomal RNA, 253 nt
Filed under: uncultured bacterium
Lineage: Bacteria
Description: partial 16S ribosomal RNA
Rfam family: Bacterial small subunit ribosomal RNA
Source: RNAcentral